Molecule: transfer RNA, 84 nt
Filed under: Mustela putorius furo (domestic ferret)
Lineage: Eukaryota; Metazoa; Chordata; Mammalia; Carnivora; Mustelidae
Rfam family: tRNA
About the family: Transfer RNA (tRNA) molecules are approximately 80 nucleotides in length.
Source: Rfam by way of RNAcentral
GCCUGGGUGGCUCAGUCGGUUAAGCGUCUGCCUUUGGCUCAGGUCACGAUCUCAGGGUCGUGGGAUCAAGUCCCGCAUCAGGCU